CUAACCCGGGCUGCGUCCUCCUGUCUUGCAGGAUCACAACUGCCCCAAGGAAAAGCCCGUACUGCAGGUUGAGGCUGCGAGCUUGUGCUGAGAUCUGUGCUUUCACUUUCGGUUUGAGACUCUCCUCGGGAACCUAAUUUCUCUCCCCGUCUGCGCUGAUCUCCCCCCUGGCCCCAGAACCAACCUUUUUUGGCGAGACUGCAGAUUUUCUUCGGCCUCUCUUGGAAUGGGACACAGUUGAAAUGAAAGCAUGUGAGAAAAAAGAAAAAAAAGGAUAAUGAAAAAGAAAUGCAUGAGGAAGGAGAAUUAAAGAGAGAAUGAAGAAGUAAAGAAAAGAAAGAAGGAGCAAAGAAGAGAAGGAAGGAUGAGACAUGAUGAGGAAAGGAAGAAUAGCACCAGGAAAAAAGGGCAUGAAGGAAGGAAGGAAAGGAGUGACAGAGAAAAGAUGAUUACAUGACAUAACUAUGAAGAAAAUGUAUGUAUUAGGGACUGGUUUUGUAAUGAUACUAUUCUUAUGAAAUUGUUCAUUUCUAUGCCCUGUGAAAAUGGAAUGUUUAAUGACUUUACUAAUAACCUUAAUUUGCUCAAGCUCCUUUAUAAUGCAGACAAAGAAAGUCAAGGGAUCAGAUAAAACUGAACAUUCUUUGCUGAGUGUAUUGGACGUUCCUUGUGUUACUGACAUACCGAACCCAGAACUUCCCUUGUUAUGUGAGAUAACCUAUUCAGACUGGUUGAUCUCAACUUCCAGUUCUGAAAAACAAUCCAGCCCAAAGAAGACUUGAUAAAAGCAUUAUGCGAUUACACGCCCACACAUACACACUCCAAUUUUUGUCUUUAUAACCCCUGCUCCUUCUUGUCACCUUAAGCUUGGUUUGAAUUGUGCUCCUAUCUAUACAAGUCCUUCUACUUAGGAGGAAUAAAAAUCUACAG
This 930-nucleotide long non-coding RNA is filed under the name Sarcophilus harrisii (Tasmanian devil). RNAcentral's name for it is "lncRNA (ENSSHAG00000023166.1)". Lineage: Eukaryota; Metazoa; Chordata; Mammalia; Dasyuromorphia; Dasyuridae. The record is from RNAcentral.